RNAcentral lists this ribosomal RNA (1346 nucleotides) under uncultured bacterium. Its description in RNAcentral is "bacterial SSU rRNA". It matches the Rfam family "Bacterial small subunit ribosomal RNA", at positions 28 to 1381 of the family's 1533-position model. The record is from RNAcentral.
GACGAACGCUGGCUGCGUGCUUAACACAUGCAAGUCGAACGCUGAAGCCUGGUGCUUGCACCGGGUGGAUGAGUGGCGAACGGGUGAGUAACACGUGAGUAACCUGCCCCUGACUUCGGGAUAAGCCCGGGAAACUGGGUCUAAUACCGGAUACGACUGCCGGACGCAUGUCUGGUGGUGGAAAGUUUUUUCGGUUGGGGAUGGGCUCGCGGCCUAUCAGUUUGUUGGUGAGGUAAUGGCUCACCAAGACGACGACGGGUAGCCGGCCUGAGAGGGCGACCGGCCACACUGGGACUGAGACACGGCCCAGACUCCUACGGGAGGCAGCAGUGGGGAAUAUUGCACAAUGGGGGAAACCCUGAUGCAGCGACGCGGCGUGCGGGAUGACGGCCUUCGGGUUGUAAACCGCUUUCAGCAGGGAAGAAGCGCAAGUGACGGUACCUGCAGAAGAAGUACCGGCUAACUACGUGCCAGCAGCCGCGGUAAUACGUAGGGUACGAGCGUUGUCCGGAAUUAUUGGGCGUAAAGAGCUCGUAGGUGGCUGGUCACGUCUGCUGUGGAAACGCAACGCUUAACGUUGCGCGUGCAGUGGGUACGGGCUGACUAGAGUGCAGUAGGGGAGUCUGGAAUUCCUGGUGUAGCGGUGAAAUGCGCAGAUAUCAGGAGGAACACCGGUGGCGAAGGCGGGACUCUGGGCUGUAACUGACACUGAGGAGCGAAAGCAUGGGGAGCGAACAGGAUUAGAUACCCUGGUAGUCCAUGCCGUAAACGUUGGGCACUAGGUGUGGGGGGCAUUCCACGUUCUCCGCGCCGUAGCUAACGCAUUAAGUGCCCCGCCUGGGGAGUACGGUCGCAAGGCUAAAACUCAAAGGAAUUGACGGGGGCCCGCACAAGCGGCGGAGCAUGCGGAUUAAUUCGACGCAACGCGAAGAACCUUACCAAGGCUUGACAUACACCGGACCGUCCUGGAAACAGGUCCUCUUCUUUGAAGCUGGUGUACAGGUGGUGCAUGGUUGUCGUCAGCUCGUGUCGUGAGAUGUUGGGUUAAGUCCCGCAACGAGCGCAACCCUCGUUCUAUGUUGCCAGCAUGUGAUGGUGGAACUCAUAGGAGACUGCCGGGGUCAACUCGGAGGAAGGUGGGGAUGACGUCAAAUCAUCAUGCCCUUUAUGUCUUGGGCUUCACGCAUGCUACAAUGGCUGGUACAGAGAGAGGCGAACCCGUGAGGGCAAGCGAAUCCCUUAAAGCCAGUCUCAGUUCGGAUCGUAGUCUGCAAUUCGACUACGUGAAGUCGGAGUCGCUAGUAAUCGCAGAUCAGCAACGCUGCGGUGAAUACGUUCCCGGGCCU